CUGUAAAUCUCAAAGAAGAAAAAGGAGCCGCAUUUGGAUGUUUCCGGGUCUGUUCCUAUGCUUCAGCUGAGGUGGAACCGAGAGCCAGAUCUAGGACCCAAUCGUCAAAGAUCAGCAGAAAUGACCUCCUUCGUCCUUGAUGAGGAGAGCUUCUAUCAGUGCUGCUCGCUCCUCCUCCAGCGAUCCCAGCAACUGAGAGACGACUGGACCUGGGAACCAGGUCAGGGUACAAAGGAGGGGUACCUGCGGAAGACUGCUGUCAGGUCUGUCAUCACUGACUCAGAGCCAGAGACCAUCUUUGGACCUGAUCAUCAGGGACAGGAGCUACAGCAGCAUCAUCCAGCUGCUGCAGGUUGUUUUCAUGGCAACCAUGAUGAUGAUGAUGAUGGAGUGGCUGUUGCAGCAUCUAAAAGCUGCUGUCAUGUGCAUCGAUACGAAUAUCAUAUCCUCUACUCCUGCAGCUUCAGGACGCCUGUGCUCUACUUCCGAGCCUCCACCCUUGAGGGGCGGAGUCUGUCUUUGGAGGAGGUGUGGAGCUCUGUUCAUCAGAAUUACAGACGUCGUCUACAGCAUCAUCCACUGGAUACAAUCACUCAGCAGGAGCACCCGGUCUUGGGCCAGCCUUUCUUUAUGCUGCAUCCAUGCAGAACAGAUGAGUUCAUGAGGCCUUUGCUGCAGGCGGCUCAGCUGGAACACAGGUUUGUAAACUACGUGUUGUCCUGGCUCAGUGUGGUGGGUCCUCUGGUUGGUCUGGACGUCCCACUGAGCUAUUGUCUCCCGCUCUGCCUGACAGACCCAGAAUGACAGCUCGGCUUCGACCCGUCCACACAGGCAAACUGAGGAUGUGGGCCGUGUGAGAUCCGACGUCUCCUGUGCUGGCUGUGACGUGGUGGUUACCUGCUAUUUAGUUUGCUGGCUUCUUAGCCAGAGUUCUCCAGUAAAUCUUUAUCAGAGCUGCUUCGGUCUGACCAUUAAAUUUUGAGGUGGUCCCAGAAGAACGCAGACUGGUGCACAAACGGCGUGAUGUCCUACGUACAGCUGGCACGUGUACGUAGGACAUUUUGAAAUGGAUGCCUGCAACAUGUUUCAAAAAUGCUGGGACAGUGAGUACUUUACCACCAUCACAACUACAACAGCAUUUGAAACAACACAGCUGAGCUGUGAAGACGUGCACACUGAACACAGCUUCUUCAUCAUUGAUGGAAACACGGCGCUGGAUUAAAGCUGAAUGCAGUCCUGCCACAGAACGCAAAGGCUCAUUGUUCAUCACAGUCUCAUGAAAGGAGACCACGUGACACCACCUCUGGAACUCUGCCAACCAGACCAGCUUCCUGUCACACUGGUUUAAAAUGGAGAUGAAAUUAAAUGACUAUGACAGACAAAUUCACCCAGAAAAAAAGAAACCCCUUUGCUUUAUGUAUCAAAUAAUCUAAUUAUUGGGAAAUCCCAAAACCUGUUUCCUGUACAUGUGCAAAAAAAAAAUGCUUUUCUCUUUUUGUUUAUUUUUUAAUUCCUGCUUUUUAUUUGCAAUCAUGUGAUCAUGACAGAAAAAUAAUAUUCUGUCAUCUGUCAUGACUCUGUGGCACCAAGUGUUGGUUUUUACAUUUGUAUUUUCCAUACUGUCCCAACUUUUUCUGAUUUGGGAUUGUAGUUGGAUAAUGUCAUUUUUUUUUUUGCUCUUGCUUGCCUCUACUGGUGGU
This is an RNA transcript of Thalassophryne amazonica, 1700 nucleotides long. It is a transcript of the gene named ATG10 autophagy related 10 homolog (S. cerevisiae), with no coding region annotated. Lineage: Eukaryota; Metazoa; Chordata; Actinopteri; Batrachoidiformes; Batrachoididae. The transcript is spliced from 8 exons. The record is from RefSeq and is a predicted model, not a curated record.